UUUCUUCUUUUUCAUUCUUUUUUCCUAAAAUAUCUAAAAGCUCAUAAAAGUGACAGAAUAGGUUGAGAAUUGACCAAUGGAAGUUUUAUUUAACUCAUUGGAUUUAGGAUAAGGGAGGUAUGAAGAACUUCAGGCAUUGUAACAAUGCCUGACAAAUCUUUCAAGCUCGACUUCUACGUUUCAAUUCCUGAUUAUGAAUCAUAUUUCGUACAGAUAGUUUCUUUGCUAAAAUUUUCCAAUUGGUAGAACUAGAUUUUUUUACCAAAUAUUUUCCGGAUUCUACUAAGAAUGUAUUUGUAACCAGAUCUGUGAAAAGAAACCUUCUCUUCCGGAAGAAGAUUUUCCUUGACUUUUUGCAAAUGCAUGGCAAAAGAAAAUCCGGAAUUUUGGCGCAAGUCUGACCUUGACAUAUCAAAAACUGAAAUUCCAAGACUAAAAUUCUUGGGUAGUAGAAAAUCGUGAAUCAAGUGUUGGCAAAGAGAUUAGAAACAUUUUCUUGCAGAGGAUAGGAUCCCUUCUUACAGAUCCUGUCACAUUUUUAUUUUAUGACUUGAAUUUAAGGACUAACAAGGGAACAUCGAUUCAUUUGACGAGAUUUUUUCAAUUUCCAGACAACACUUUUAGUGAAUAUAUUGAGAUUAUGCAAUGCUCCUAUCACUAUUAAGAUCUCAUUGAUUUCUUGUGAUUAUCCCGCCUCUCCUACGAGAUUGAAACUCUGUAACUAAAACCUACAAAUAGUCCUUUCCUAAAUGCCGACUGCCGCCAACCGCUAUUUUUUUCGCGGUCUAAGUAAUUGCUAUGAGCCAAUGGACCAUACGCCAAGUCUUUUUUACAGUUCAUCGAUCAUUUACAUUUUUUAAAAUGAACUUUAUAGUCCUUAAAAUCAAAACCCUGACAUGGAAUCAGACUGUUGUUGAAGUGGUUGGUAAAUGUGGUGAUUAAUAUCAACAAAAACAAUAUGCAAGUCAUAAGUUUGCUUCUAAGAGAUUACAUUUGAGGUACUGAAGUUGUGAAAUAAAGAUGAAGUAAUAGAAAUUAAAAAUUUUAUAGGGAUCCUUCAUGGUUCUGUGACAGUUUAGUUAUGCAUUCUGAAGGUAGUUGUCUCAUUUGUAUGCUCGGGUGAGUACAUUUUUGAUUAAGCUUCUGGUAGUAAGCAGUUGCUGUAUUCUGUUAAAAAUAUUGCUAAGCACACUGAACAGAGGACAGAACUGUUAAAAAGCAGCCAGGUUGUACUUAACAGACGAAUUCAGCCAAGAAUAAAUAUGAAAAUGAUUCUCUCCUGUUCCGCAAAAAAAUUAAUGCUGAUUUCCAAUGAAUCAAAUUUUUCUGGGAAAAUCUGAACUAAGCCAAUGACUGUAUCAAUCGGAAAUUCAAUCAAUAUAGACAAAAUCAUUGGCCCUACAGGUGUCCAACUCAUCAAGAUUCCACCAUGAUUACUUACAGUCCAUGAUGAUUGCACAGAGUUGAUGUAGUCUAUAAAUUCGUCCGACAAUGGAUCCUCUGGCGCAAAAGGUUGUGGUGGGCUAGCAUACGAUCCGACGGCACAAAGUCCUACCAGCGUCAGAAUUAGGUUGGUCAUGUUUGGAUAAA
Molecule: non-coding RNA, 1590 nt
Organism: Bemisia tabaci
Lineage: Eukaryota; Metazoa; Arthropoda; Insecta; Hemiptera; Aleyrodidae
Source: RefSeq, a predicted model, not a curated record